Molecule: ribosomal RNA, 253 nt
Filed under: uncultured bacterium
Lineage: Bacteria
Description: partial 16S ribosomal RNA
Rfam family: Archaeal small subunit ribosomal RNA
Source: RNAcentral
UACCAGCACCCCGAGUGGUCGGGACGAUUAUUGGGCCUAAAGCAUCCGUAGCCGGUUCUGCAAGUCCUCCGUUAAAUCCAGCUGCUCAACAGAUGGGCUGCGGAGGAUACUACAGAGCUAGGAGGCAGGAGAGGCAAGCGGUACUCAGUGGGUAGGGGUAAAAUCCGUUGAUCCAUUGAAGACCACCAGUGGCGAAGGCGGCUUGCCAGAAUGCGCUCGACGGUGAGGGAUGAAAGCUGGGGGAGCAAACCGG